Molecule: long non-coding RNA, 1729 nt
Filed under: Homo sapiens (human)
Lineage: Eukaryota; Metazoa; Chordata; Mammalia; Primates; Hominidae
Description: HSALNT0295926
Source: RNAcentral
AGCAGAAUACACCAAGACGCCCCCCUCGCAUGGAUGUGUCAAUGAUCACCCCAGAAUCCGCCACAAGCUGGGGUCCCUCAUAGAGCUUCACCCUGUCCAGGAUUCCAGGAUAGGAGUAUCCAUUGGUGCUAGGGUGCCAGUGGGCACUGUGCCACCAUGCCUGGGGCCUUGCUUUUCCCCAGCCCCCCUUGAGCUCACCAGGCCUGAGAGAGAAGGGAGGGAGGGAAAGGGAGGCAGGAAGGAGAGGGAAGGGGGGUGCUUUUCUCAGGCCUGGGGCCCCUAGCUCUUUGUCCAGCUCCUUUUGCAUCUCAAAGCACCAGCCGCAUUCCAAGCGAGGAUUGGGUUGCCAUGACAAUAAGCACAAUGGGCUGGGGGGUGAAGUCACCCGCUUCCCAGGCUCUAGUCCACCCCCUUUUAUCCCCUGUCCUGGCACCCCACAGCCCCAGGCACCUUAAAGGGGAACCAACCCAGGUUCCUGGACUCUGGGCUCUUGGCCAUGGAAAGUCCAGCCUCUAAGCAGACCCAUUUCCCCUCCCUUCCUGUUCAUCUCCACCAACUAGGGCUACUUGUUGGAGAGAAAUGCAAAGUUGUGGACAAAGUGUUGAACCGAGGCCUGUGAAGUCAGGGCCUUGAUUUUCUCUUCUGUAAAUGAUGAUGCCUUCCAGGUCAGAUGAUCCCUAUCCACGUUGAUAAGACAGGUUCCAGGUCAUACCAACUAAGGGACCAGAUGUGAUGUGCCCCUUCACAGAUUGGCCUGGGUUUGGAGGCUUCUGGAGAACUGUAAAGGGCAUCUAACCCAAUGCCCUCAUUUUACAGACGGGAAAAUGGGUCAUGGAGGAGUGACUUCACCAACAUCACUCAUAGGUGCUUGUGUCCGUGGUGAGAAGGGUGAUGGAGAGAAGUGGCUGCAGUUCCCACCCAUGGAGAGGUCACUGGUGAAUCCCAGCUAAAGAGGAAGGACAGGCCCGGCCUGAGUCCCACAGGAUUCCUCCAUUUGGAAGUGAUUGAACUGCAUAUCCCUUACAUACCAACUGCCAAGCCAGGGUCACUGUUCAUGGUCUGAACGAUUUCCAUGCCCUGGGGUUGUAUAGUAAAGAAAAAGCUGUGAUGCAGGCUUACCAUCUGAGUCCUUCUGAUUGGGAUUGGGUACCAGGCGGCAGUUAUCGGGACCAGGAGGCACAUAAUCUGGGAUGCCAUCAUUGUCAUCAUCCCCAUCACACUCAUCUCCAAGUCCAUCGUUAUCAGAGUCCAGCUGGGAGCUAUUUGGCAGCUGUGGGCAGUUGUCCUUGGUGUCCUGAUGCCCAUCCCCAUCGCUAAUCAGAAGAACAGGUUGGUGAAAGUCCCGAACUUUGUCUCCCCACCCAGAGGACAACUGGCCAGGAAAUCUGCCUGUUUCUUGUCUCACCCUCUAGUCCACACUCUGCCUAACACUACGCCCUACCUCACAUUCCUAUUGACAUCUGCUGCAGGUAAUCUCUCCUCACCCAGGCCAACGUCCACAAGCCUGCCUCCCUAUUUCACAGAGACUUCCUAGCUUCCCUGCUUCAUCCCCACCUGAUCCAAAUUCUCACAGGUCCCCCAGCCACCCCUUCAGCCCCAGGCCUGCACCAUCCCCAUCCACGUCGUUGUCACAGGCAUCUCCUUCCCCAUUGCCAUCUGUGUCCUUCUGGUCAUUGUUGGGAACGUUGGGGCAAUUGUCACAGGCAUCACCAAAUGAAUCUGUAUCUGA